AACAAUACAAGGCAGUUAAAAUGCUUUGUAAUUGGAAUGAUAGAAAUUUAAACCCUUUUUAAAGUAUCAAUUGGAGGGCAAGUCUGGUGCCAGCAGCCGCGGUAAUUCCAGCUCCAAUAGCGUAUAUUAAAAUUGUUGCAGUUAAAAAGCUCGUAGUUGAAGUUCUGCUAAAAGUAACCGGUCUGCUUUUAAUAAAAGUGGUAUCUUGGUAUGUAUUUAGCAAUGAUGUCCUUUGAAGUGUUUUUUACUUUAUUGUAAUAAAGCAUAUUCAGGACUUUUACUUUGAGAAAAUUAGAGUGUUUCUAGCAGGCUAACGCUUUGAAUACUGCAGCAUGGAAUAAUAAGAUAGGAUUUUAGUUCUACAUUAUUGGUUUUAAGAGCUAAAUUAAUGAUUGAUAGGGACAGUUGGGGGCAUUUGUAUUUAACUGUCAGAGGUGAAAUUCUUAGAUUUGUUAAAGACAAACUACUGCGAAAGCAUUUGCCAAAGAUGUUUUCAUUAAUCAAGAACGAAAGUUAGGGGAUCGAAGACGAUCAGAUACCGUCGUAGUCUUAACUAUAAACUAUGCCGACUAGAGAUUGGAGGUCGUCUUUAUAAAC
This 597-nucleotide ribosomal RNA is filed under the name Hepatozoon canis. RNAcentral's name for it is "SSU rRNA". It matches the Rfam family "Eukaryotic small subunit ribosomal RNA", at positions 477 to 1075 of the family's 1831-position model. Lineage: Eukaryota; Apicomplexa; Hepatozoidae. The record is from RNAcentral.